This 116-nucleotide ribosomal RNA is filed under the name Streptomyces sp. OM5714. Lineage: Bacteria; Bacillati; Actinomycetota; Actinomycetes; Kitasatosporales; Streptomycetaceae. The record is from RNAcentral.
CCCAAGAGCCAGAGCUUUUUUGCGUUGAGGUAGGGUCAGUGAGCAUCAUUGGCUCGUUUCCCCCAGGAGGCCCCCGCGUGGAGGUCCAGGAGACCCGCGUGCAGACCGACCGGGUC